This 222-nucleotide unclassified non-coding RNA is filed under the name plant metagenome. Its description in RNAcentral is "partial contains small subunit ribosomal RNA, internal transcribed spacer 1, and 5.8S ribosomal RNA". The record is from RNAcentral.
UCUCCGUUGGUGAACCAGCGGAGGGAUCAUUAAAGAGUUGCAAAACUCCCAAACCAUUGUGAACAUACCUUCAACGUUGCUUCGGCGGGUUGGCCCCGGUCUCCGGGGUCCCCGGCCCUCUCGGGCGCCCGCCGGAGGUACCUAACUCUUGAGCUUUUAUGGCCUCUCUGAGUCUUUGUACUUAAAAAGUCAAAACUUUCAACAACGGAUCUCUUGGUUCUG